Podarcis muralis (Common wall lizard) is the source of this 239-nucleotide non-coding RNA. Lineage: Eukaryota; Metazoa; Chordata; Lepidosauria; Squamata; Lacertidae. The record is from RefSeq and is a predicted model, not a curated record.
ACAGGCAACCUCCGCGUAAGCAUGCGCAAAAGGGCUCUGCGUCGGGGACGUCGCGCAAGGUCGCUUCCGUGUCAGAGACUUAAGAUGUACAUCUCUGAGUGCCCGGAUCGAUGGCUGCUAAGGAAAUGUUGCCCUUGACAGAAAGAAGACUGACCACUCCAUACACAAACUACCACCACUGCCCCGGUUUAAAGCAUACUGCACCUGUUGUAUGCUUGCAAUAAACUUAAUUUUCUGCA